AAACAUUCAGCCAUAAGGCUUUUAAUAACAUCCUUCUCUAAUAAAUUGCUACUGCAUCCUUAUCUAUGUAAAAAUAUUAAGUUUUCCCGGGAAAAAGUUCCCAUAUAUCACAUUCAAUCCAAAAGCUGCUUUCCUUUUAUGUGAAGUUUUCUUUGCUAUCUACAGGUCCCCAAAGUGUCGUAAUCUUCCUCAUUAGUACCUGAAAAGCAUGCUAAUCACAUAGGUCAUCUCACUUAACUAAAAAUAGACAAAGUGCAAGAAUUAUGUAUUUUAUCCGCAAAACUUAGCUAAAACAUGGGUAAGUUAUGGUGCUUAGACAUAUAAAUAUGCCCAACAUCACCACCUCACACUUAAAGCUGUGUUCGUCCUCAAACAACAUAUCUAUUUAUUCAUACUACACAAGCGUUAGCACCCACAAUGGAAGACAAGAUGCUCAAAUAGGCUCACACACAAUUAUGAACAAGAAGUAGCUUCAGGAAUCAAUCCUAGAUACAACCUACCCUCAAGAAUAGACUCAUUAACUUGGCAAUUUCAUACAUAUCGUUCAAGAAAAAAAAUCAUAUAAAUUACCCAACCUUCAUCAACCAUGUGCCUUCAUAACAAGAGAGUUACCCAUAAUCACUCACAAUCAUGCAAUUUCUAACAAAAUGGGUACAAGAAUCAAGUUGUGCUCACUCUCACAAAGAAUUCUCAAAUUACAACUAAUGACCAUAUGCUUUCCCUUAGUGUAAUACUCCACUAAUAUCAGAAUGCUAAGAUUAAAAUCAAAUAGGUCUUUUACGGGUUGUAAUGCCGGCUAAAAGAUGGGUUGGAACUAUUUUGGCCAGAAAUAGUGACUAUCUUCCCUAAGCGCUUCAAUACACUACAUUAUGCAAUUAAGAUUAAUCUCAAACAACCAAUUUCCACUUCUUCUAUCUUCACAGAUUUGAUUUUCACCUCAACUCGUUAAGCUUGAUUAAUAACACUAUGGCGGGAGUAUGCAACCCUUUCAAAUAUUUUUUUUGCACCCUUUUCACGUUACGCACCCCUAUAAUAACCACCCUUAACUUAAGAAAUUUGCCUUAGUUGAGGUGCACAAUGUCCAAGAAGGACCAGGGCCAAAACAGGUUCAUUGUAACAUGUCCGGGAUAAAAUUUUGAACUUUUUUCAACAAUUUUAGCUACUCCCAACCACAUCAAUUGCUCACGCCAAUAACUAGACUUUCGGGCAUCAAUUUCACCUUUUUUCUCUUAUUCUCAAACUCCUAACUCACAUUGAUUUUACAUUAAAGCAUUUAGGAACUUUUUGGAUCAAAUAACGGUCUAUUAAAGAAUAGAUUAGGCUACAUAUGAGGCUAACAAAAGAAAAAGCUAAAGGCUCGACGGGGCUAUCUAAGAUAAUGUACAAAGGUAGGUCAAAAGAAGGUAUGAACAAUGGCUAUCAAAGAAAUGCCUAAAUCAUCUCCUAAACUUGCAAUGUUUAUUUCUCUUUGCAUCCACACCAGGAAUGUUCUAGCAUCAGUUGCAAUAAGGAAUAUACAACAGUCUUACACACUCAUGGCACAUGGUCAACUAAAUUAGGAGCAUUAUAGAUUCUCGACCAAACAAUUACAUGAAUUCAAUUAAAACCAACAAUCACAACAAGAAUCACAACUAGAGCCUAGGUGUUUCAAACAUAAUGAUCCAUCAUAUACUUAGGUUAUAAUGUCAUAUGAUCCACAAGAGCAGUUACAUAUAAUUAAAAGACUACUUUUCUCUUAAGACUGUCGUCAUCUAUCCAUCAUCUAGAAAAAUACCUAAUUAUGACUAAAUAACUAACAAAAUGAACAAAAUAACUAAUCCUAUCCCGAAGUAUACUAAGGAGAAGGUCCUAUUUUCUUACGAAACAAGUAGCAAAGUAACCAUCCACCCCACACUUAAGCUCAGCACUGUCCCCAGUGUAAAUUACAAGAUAAAGAACCUGGAUAGUAGUACUUCUCAUCUAUAUUAGGAGUCAUGCCACCUGCGUGGAGAUCAUCAUUGCAGCAAAUAGCAAAGUUAUUUGGUACUAUUUUUCUUACAAAACAAGUAGCAAAGUAACCAGCCAGUGGGCAUAGGCAAUAACAUAGGCGGCGCCUAAGCUAUAGCCUAUGUUGACAUAGGCGACGCCUAACCUAUCGCCUAAGUGAGGCAUGAGCAUAGGCAAUUGAAAGUCACAAAAUAAAGUCGCACCGCGAAAUUUUUUGGGUCGAAUUAACAUAAUUCGAUGUGUGACUCUAAUGCGAAUCAUACUUAAGCCUUAGACAUUUGACCAAUCCAACUUACCUGUAAUAUUCCCAUCACUCCUAAACUUACCACCAUUGACAUGGCUCACUUCCAAAUCAAAAUUGGUACUAAUCUCCUCCUUAGUACUUCAUGCACCUACAAGUAAUCAAAAACAACAAAA
RNAcentral lists this long non-coding RNA (2403 nucleotides) under Capsicum annuum. Its description in RNAcentral is "long non-coding RNA (CANN_LNC014805)". The record is from RNAcentral. Lineage: Eukaryota; Viridiplantae; Streptophyta; Magnoliopsida; Solanales; Solanaceae.